GCCGGCUGUUGGCGCGAGAGGACGCGCGCCGCCGGUUGCGCGGGGCGGGUGGAGUGACUCCCAUCGUCCUUUUCGUCCCCUCAGCGCUGAGCGGGACGGGGCUAGCCCUGGCCCCUCUCGCCCGCCGCUGCCGGCGCCGCCCUGCCCUGCCCUGUUCGCGGCCAGGCCCCUCCCGCAGCCGCCACCCGCGCAGACCGGGCUCCCCCCGGCAUCCCCCUCCCGCUCCAUCCUCCCCAGGGCCCUCCACAGCCUCCCUUGGGGGGUGGUCCCUAGCCUCGCUCAGUGCCGCCCGCCUGCGGACAACGGUGACUAGCUCCGGGUAACGUCCCUAGAGUCACGUGUCCGCCCCCCCCCCGUCCCUCCGUCACAGCGGCUGGGGGCUGGGCCGCUGAGCGGCUUUCCACGGAGACCGCAUCCUCCUUCCGGCCCCCCCGGCCCCCAAAGAACAGCUCCCCGGGGACCCGCACGGAUGUCCCAAACCAUUAACUGAAGGUUGACUGACCUAUCCGUGCAAAACAUCUGGAUGUCUUGGACCUCGUAAGCCACACAAAAACAGACGUCCGCAUUUAUAAAGAGACGACAGAGAGAAAUAACGCAGCCCAGCUCCACACAGUACGUCCAGUUUGGGGAGGUAAAAGACGUUCUACAGAGAUUGACAGAACCGUCCUGGCAUGUCCACACACAGCAUGGUUACGGCUGGAGUAGCAUCGAUAUAUUCUGGAAUUCCUGAAGCACUUUCUCCUUGAUACUUAGUACUGUUGCAGGGAGAGAGGAUUUGACGUAAUUUCCAACCACCAGGCAUUGCAGUCCACUGUAAAUGUAAUUCAAAGGGCCAUCUUCUGAACUAAUGCAGCUGCAACAUUUAAGGUUCCUGUCCCCACUGGGGAGAAUCUGUUGUAAUCUGCUCUGGUUCCCUCAAUGAAAGACAUUGUUCUGGUCAUUGCAAUUAACCAGUAAGUCAGUCAACAGUGUGCCCUUGUUGCCAAAAAGGCCAAUGGCAUUUUGGUAUGUAUAUGUAGGGGCAUUGCCAGCAGAUCGAGGGACGAGAUCGUUCCCCUCUAUUCGACAUUGGUGAGGCCUCAUCUGGAGUACUGUGUCCAGUUUUGGGCCCCACACUACAAGAAGGAUGUGGAAAAAUUGGAGAGAGUCCAGCGGAGGGCAACAAAAAUGAUUAGGGGAUUGGAACACAUGACUUAUGAGGAGAGGCUGAGGGAACUGGGAUUGUUUAGUCUGCGGAAGAGAAGAAUGAGGGGGGAUUUGAUAGCUGCUUUCAACUACCUGAAAGGGGGUUCCAAAGAGGAUGGAUCUAGACUGUUCUCAGUGGUAGCUGAUGACAGAACAAGGAGUAAUGGUCUCAAGUUGCAGUGGGGGAAGUUUAGGUUGGAUAUUAGGAAAAACUUUGUCACUAGGAGGGUGGUGAAACACUGGAAUGCGUUACCUAGGGAGGUGGUGGAAUCUCCUUCCUUAGAUAUUUUUAAGCUCAGGCUUGACAAAGCCCUGGCUGGGAUGGUUUAGUUGGGGAUUGGUCCUGCUUUGAGCAGGGGGUUGGACUAGAUGACCUCCUGAGGUCCCUUCCAACCCUGAUAUUCUAUGAUUCUAUGACACCGGUUGUGUGUAAAUGCAAGGCAUUCUACAGGCAGCAGAAGCUACAGAAACUGUAAGUAACACCAUUUUGUUUAGAGUACUCCGGGUCUUAGCGCCCAUAUUAGGAGAAGGGUGCCAUAACCAUUCCUCUGAUCUGGGGGAGGGGGUUAAGACUAGGGCAGUAGCAGGAGCCUUGGAGUAGGGAUGUAAAAUGUCAACCCGCCUUAACCAUUAACCCCCCCAGGCCAACCGACUGGCCGGCCCCAGCAGCCCCGCCCCAAACAGUCCUGGCCCCAGCUGGAGCGGCUCCAGCCCCAGCCACACCAGCCAGCCCUUUAAUCAGUUAACCGUUUAAACAAAAUAUUUCUUAAUCUUUAAACUUUUUAAACAGUGUUUACAUUCCUACCUUGGAGCAAGCAAAAUUGCUGACUGAGGAUUGAGGGUACACGUCUACAGCGGAUAAAAGCCCAAUGGCAUAGCCGCGGCUGGCUUGGCUCGGCUCAGCUGACUUGGGCUCACAGGGCUCAGGCUGCAGGGCUAAAAACUGUUGUGUAGACAUUCGGGUUCGGACUGCAGCCUGAGCUCUGGGACCCUCCAGCCAUAGACCAAAUUCUACACAGCAAUUUUUCAGCCCCAGAGCCCAAGCCCCACGAGCCUGAGUCAGCUGAUCCGGGCCAGCCAUAGGUUUUUUUAUCCCUUUGCUACAUGUGUCAGAGAAGACAGACUGAAGCCAGCAGUCUGGAUUUGUAGAAACCAGACCAAAGAAAAAAAAGUUGAGGUUUAAAAUACUAAAAGGAGAGAAAAGAAAAUACGUAACUGCUUCAAAUUCUUUUAAUCUACCACAUUUAUAAAAUGAGACUACACAGACCACAGAGAUAUUCCUCGUCAGCAUAAUGCACAGAGACUACAUAGCAACAAAGGCCAAUAUAAAAUAGUC
Long non-coding RNA from Caretta caretta (loggerhead turtle), 2521 nucleotides. RefSeq lists it as uncharacterized. The record is from RefSeq and is a predicted model, not a curated record. Lineage: Eukaryota; Metazoa; Chordata; Testudines; Cheloniidae.